UACGGAGGGGGCUAGCGUUGUUCGGAAUUACUGGGCGUAAAGCGCACGUAGGCGGCUUUGUAAGUUAGAGGUGAAAGCCCGGAGCUCAACUCCGGAACUGCCUUUAAGACUGCAUCGCUUGAACGUCGGAGAGGUAAGUGGAAUUCAGAGUGUAGAGGUGAAAUGCGUAGAUAUCGGAAGGAACACCAGUGGCGAAGGCGGCUUCCUGGACUAAUACUGACGCUGAGGUGCGAAAGCGUGGGGAGCAAACAGG
RNAcentral lists this ribosomal RNA (253 nucleotides) under uncultured bacterium. RNAcentral describes it as "partial 16S ribosomal RNA". It matches the Rfam family "Bacterial small subunit ribosomal RNA", at positions 524 to 776 of the family's 1533-position model. The record is from RNAcentral.